CAGAGGCUGCUGCAGUCCCAGAGGGAGCAGCUGCAGUCCCAAAAGGAGCUGCAGUCCCAGAAGGAGCAGCUGCAGCUGCUGCAGUCCCAGAAGGAGCAGCUGCUGCCAUCCCAGCAGCUGUUGCAGCCUCCAGGGAGGAGACAGACCUGCAGGACUGCAAAUCCCCGAGGUUUCCUGGUGAAAGAAAAAAGAAGAGCAAUUCCCAAGAGAGAAAUGUUUCAAAGAUCUAAAAGGCUCUACGAGCAGCUCCCCGAGGUGAGGAGGAAGAGGGAGGAGGAGCAGAGGAAGCUGGAGUACAGCUCCCACCGCCUGCAGGCUCGGCUCUACAGAACUGUGAGUGUCCUUCUGCAGGGUGCCAGGCACGGGAGUGGGGACUGGGGACUGGGGAGGGGGAACUGGGCUG
This 403-nucleotide long non-coding RNA is filed under the name Parus major (Great Tit). RNAcentral's name for it is "lncRNA (ENSPMJG00000006185.1)". Lineage: Eukaryota; Metazoa; Chordata; Aves; Passeriformes; Paridae. The record is from RNAcentral.